Molecule: ribosomal RNA, 497 nt
Filed under: uncultured bacterium
Lineage: Bacteria
Description: partial 16S ribosomal RNA
Rfam family: Bacterial small subunit ribosomal RNA
Source: RNAcentral
GAUGAACGCUGGCGGCGUGCCUAACACAUGCAAGUCGAGCGGAAGCACGACGAGCGUUCCUCUCUGGUGUUAGCGGCGGACGUGAUGGUAACACGUGGAUAACCUCCUUAUAGGACUGUACUCAAUUGGGGAAACCGUAGCUAAUACCGGCUAAUAUUUUGAACCGCAGGGCUCAAAAGCGCAAGACGGUCUUGCUGUCACUUAUAGAUUGAUCCGCGCUGCAUUAGCUAGUUGGUAAGGUAACGGCUUACCAAGGCAACGAUGCGUAGCCGACCUGAGAGGGUGAUCAGCCACACUGGAACUGAGACACGGUCCAGACUCCUACGGGAGGCAGCAGUGGGGAAUCUUGCGCAAUGGGCGCAAGCCUGACCGAGCAACGCCGCGUGAAUGAUGAAGGUCUUCGGAUCGUAAAAUUCUGUUGUUAGGGACGAAAAUGUGUGGAAGAAAAUCUGCAGAUAAUGACGGUACCGAAAGAGAAAGCCACGGCUAACUACGUG